Molecule: small nuclear RNA, 107 nt
Organism: Bos indicus x Bos taurus (hybrid cattle)
Lineage: Eukaryota; Metazoa; Chordata; Mammalia; Artiodactyla; Bovidae
Source: Ensembl
GUGCUCGCUUUGGCAGCACAUAUACUAAAAUUGAAACAAUACAGAGAAGAUUAGCAUGGGCCCUGCACAAGGAUGACAUGCAAAUUCAUGAAGCGUUCCAUAUUUUU